GGACGCGUAGCUCAGCGGGAGAGCAUUCGCUUCACACGCGAAGGGUCGCAGGUUCAAUCCCUGCCGCGUCCACCA
Molecule: transfer RNA, 75 nt
Filed under: Caulobacter sp.
Lineage: Bacteria; Pseudomonadati; Pseudomonadota; Alphaproteobacteria; Caulobacterales; Caulobacteraceae
Also listed under: 9 other names
Description: tRNA-Val
Rfam family: tRNA
About the family: Transfer RNA (tRNA) molecules are approximately 80 nucleotides in length. Their secondary structure includes four short double-helical elements and three loops (D, anti-codon, and T loops). Further hydrogen bonds mediate the characteristic L-shaped molecular structure. tRNAs have two regions of fundamental functional importance: the anti-codon, which is responsible for specific mRNA codon recognition, and the 3' end, to which the tRNAs corresponding amino acid is attached (by aminoacyl-tRNA synthetases). tRNAs cope with the degeneracy of the genetic code in two manners: having more than one tRNA (with a specific anti-codon) for a particular amino acid; and 'wobble' base-pairing, i.e. permitting non-standard base-pairing at the 3rd anti-codon position.
Source: RNAcentral